GUCAACUGAAGGCUUUUGAAGUCUCCGCAUGGAGGAUAGAUCGCUCAUGGAGGGCUUCACUCUCGCCCUUAAUUAUACGUCGACGCUUCAACCGCUCUCAAAUCGGAAAUAGAGGUUCGCCGAUCACAUUCGAGCUUCGCUCUCGGAUAGGAGGACUGGGAAUGGGGGUUGAAUGUGGGCAUGUCGAACUCUGUAAUAUGCAACCAUGGAAGAUGCCGGGAGAAGGCCAUGUAUUCUUGUUUGUUUCAAUAUGUUUUUGGUUUGCAAACGUUUGCACUCUAUAUAUCCUCGUUAUAAAAUUUCAUCAUUUACAUGUAAUCAUCAGGGCCUAUUGCUUCUUUAUAUACCAUGAGCAUUUUUCCU
Molecule: non-coding RNA, 363 nt
Organism: Corylus avellana
Lineage: Eukaryota; Viridiplantae; Streptophyta; Magnoliopsida; Fagales; Betulaceae
Source: RefSeq, a predicted model, not a curated record